GACGAACGCUGGCGGCGUGCUUAACACAUGCCAGUCGAACGGAAAGGCCCUGCUUUUGUGGGGUGCUCGAGUGGCGAACGGGUGAGUAACACGUGAGUAACCUGCCCUUGACUUUGGGAUAACUUCAGGAAACUGGGGCUAAUACCGGAUAGGAGCUCCUGCUGCAUGGUGGGGGUUGGAAAGUUUCGGCGGUUGGGGAUGGACUGGCGGGUUACAAGCUGGUUGGUGGGGUAGGGGCUUACAAAGGUUUUGACGGGUAGCCGGCCUGAGAGGGUGACCGGCCACAUUGGGACUGAGAUACGGCCCAGACUCCUACGGGAGGCAGCAGUGGAGAAUAUUGCACAAUGGGCGGAAGCCUGAUGCAGCAACGCCGCGUGCGGGAUGACGGCCUUCGGGUUGUAAACCGCUUUCGCCUGUGACGAAGCGUGAGUGACGGUAAUGGGUAAAGAAGCACCGGCUAACUACGUG
RNAcentral lists this ribosomal RNA (468 nucleotides) under uncultured bacterium. RNAcentral describes it as "partial 16S ribosomal RNA". It matches the Rfam family "Bacterial small subunit ribosomal RNA", at positions 28 to 507 of the family's 1533-position model. The record is from RNAcentral.